GACGAACGCUGGCGGCGUGCUUAACACAUGCAAGUCGAACGGAAAGGCCCUGCUUUUGUGGGGUGCUCGAGUGGCGAACGGGUGAGUAACACGUGAGUAACCUGCCCUUGACUUUGGGAUAACUUCAGGAAACUGGGGCUAAUACCGGAUAGGAGCUCCUGCUGCAUGGUGGGGGUUGGAAAGUUUCGGCGGUUGGGGAUGGACUCGCGGCUUAUCAGCUUGUUGGUGGGGUAGUGGCUUACCAAGGCUUUGACGGGUAGCCGGCCUGAGAGGGUGACCGGCCACAUUGGGACUGAGAUACGGCCCAGAGUCCUACGGGAGGCAGGAGUGGGGAAUAUUGCACAAUGGGCGGAAGCCUGAUGCAGAAACGCCGCGUGGGGGAUGACGGCCUUCGGGUUGUAAACCGCUUUCGCCUGUGACGAAGCGUGAGUGACGGUAAUGGGGAAAGAAGCACCGGCUAACUACGU
RNAcentral lists this ribosomal RNA (467 nucleotides) under uncultured bacterium. RNAcentral's name for it is "partial 16S ribosomal RNA". It matches the Rfam family "Bacterial small subunit ribosomal RNA", at positions 28 to 506 of the family's 1533-position model. The record is from RNAcentral.